GACGAACGCUGGCGGCGUGCUUAACACAUGCAAGUCGAACGGAAAGGCCCUGCUUGCAGGGUACUCGAGUGGCGAACGGGUGAGUAACACGUGGGUGAUCUGCCCUGCACUUCGGGAUAAGCUUGGGAAACUGGGUCUAAUACCGGAUAGGAGCCAUCUUUAGUGUGGUGGUUGGAAAGUUUUUUCGGUGUAGGAUGAGCUCGCGGCCUAUCAGCUUGUUGGUGGGGUAAUGGCCUACCAAGGCGGCGACGGGUAGCCGGCCUGAGAGGGUGUACGGCCACAUUGGGACUGGGAUACGGCCCAGACUCCUACGGGAGGCAGCAGUGGGGAAGAUUGCACAAUGGGCGCAAGCCUGAUGCAGCGACGCCGCGGGGGGGAUGAAGGCCUUCGGGUUGUAAACUCCUUUCGCUAGGGACGAAGCUUUGUGUGACGGUACCUAGAUAAGAAGCACCGGCUAACUACGUG
Molecule: ribosomal RNA, 465 nt
Filed under: uncultured bacterium
Lineage: Bacteria
Description: partial 16S ribosomal RNA
Rfam family: Bacterial small subunit ribosomal RNA
Source: RNAcentral